Molecule: microRNA precursor, 206 nt
Organism: Oryza rufipogon (brownbeard rice)
Lineage: Eukaryota; Viridiplantae; Streptophyta; Magnoliopsida; Poales; Poaceae
Rfam family: MIR812 microRNA precursor family
Source: Rfam
ACUAAUUACAGCCCAUGAUUUUCCGCGCUCAACUUUGAUCGUCUGUCUUAUUUAAAUUUUUUUUAUAAUUAGCAUUUUUGUUGUUAUGAGAUGAUAAAAUAUGAAUAAUACUUUACUCGUGACUUAUGUUUUUAAUUUUUUUCAAAAGAAUUUUAAAUAAAACGAAUGGUUAAAGUUGGACACGGAAAACCAUGGCUGUAUUUAUU